CAUCUUUGGCGCGUCGGUGCCGGCGAUGGGUUUUUUUUUUUUUUUCUCCGCGCUGCGACAGCGUCAAACAGACUGACUGGAAUUCCAAGUGAGCCGGAGAACAAACAAAAGCGAAGGCCGUCAGCAUGAGCGGAGGUAGGUUUAAUACUCCCUCCGGGAUUUAAAAGUCAAUUUACAGACAAUCCUCCUGUCUUGACUACGCGGCCCUCGUGCUCCCUGCUGAUGUUUUCCGGAGGACCUGGAUGGGGAGGUGACUGUGACCCAGGAGAAGACCUGCUGUUAGCAGCGUUGUUCAGACUCCUACUUUCGCUCCGAGGGCUUUUAUUUCAGUUUUAAAAAAUGCGACCGUCCAGCGGCUCUUACUGAAGGAAAAGCAGUGUUUCAUGAGAAGCUUCUUCACUCCUUCAGGGAACGAAACGCGGCGCUUCAACAUGGAGCCGACGGUCCCCAAUGAAGACCUCUCGGGUGGUUCUGCAGAACCAAAGCAGCUGGUUACGGGAGGCUUUCCUGCAGUAUGGAGCCAUUGGUCUUCAGGUUGGAUGCAGACCAAAAGCCCCGUCGGAUGUUUCUGAGGCGGCUCUGACGGAGGAGGCCUUUUUUCCAGCUGAAGACCGGGUGAGUGCAUCAGGACUCUGAGUGUGUAGACUUUGUAAACUGUGUUCUAACGCACACACACACACACACACACAC
Gasterosteus aculeatus aculeatus (three-spined stickleback) is the source of this 690-nucleotide long non-coding RNA. NCBI's taxonomy places the organism in Eukaryota, Metazoa, Chordata, Actinopteri, Perciformes, Gasterosteidae. The record is from Ensembl.